Molecule: long non-coding RNA, 1394 nt
Organism: Vicia villosa (hairy vetch)
Lineage: Eukaryota; Viridiplantae; Streptophyta; Magnoliopsida; Fabales; Fabaceae
Exons: 5
Source: RefSeq, a predicted model, not a curated record
UAUGCUUGUCAUUGGUCAAUUGGUCAAAAACCUAAAAAGUUAUGUACUACCAUAAGUUAUCUUUUCCAAUUUUCGUUUCCCUCCCAAAAGCAACAUACCACACUGUCAACCUCUCAUUGGUCAAAUACCGUAUUUUUCUAUGAUUCCAUUUCCCCUUCUUCUCUUCCUCUCUCCACCACAUUCUUCUUCUCUUUCUUUUCUCUCCUUUUCCGAGCGAUCACGCUUUCUACCACCGUAUCUCCUUUCCGACAGUCACUACUCACCAAGAUUCCAUUUUACUCUAACAAUUUAUUGUUUUCUUGAAGCAAAUAGAUCCAGAUCUAAAACAUUAAUUUGGUUUAACCUUGCAGAUUUAAAGGAAAUCAUACAAAGGAAAAACUGAUGAAGAUGAAAUAGGAUCUACAGAAUGCUUUUCAAUGAUAUUCCACUACGUUCAAAUCGGGUGAGUUUUGCCGAGUUAGGAUUUUCAACCUUGAUGAGUUUUGCCAAGUUAUGUUUUUUCGUUGAAUCAUGUGAUUUUCAACAUUCUGUAUUGUAUUUGAUUUGCUAGAUCUGAACUUUAGUUUGUUUCUUUAUUAUUAGAAAGAUGUGGAAUAUACCCGUGCUCCGACAUUCGCUGUUUCUUGCAGGGCUGAUUUGGUAAUGCGCUGUCUGCCGAGUUUGGUUCAGUGUUGGCUGGUUUUCGUUGGAGGGUGUCAUUCUGGGAGGCGUUUCCAGAGUUAAACGACAUCAUCAAUUUCGUGCAGUUACAACUCUGCUAAAAUUCUUAUCUCAGUAACAGAAAUUAUUCUAAUUUUUUCCAAUGUUCAAAUGGCUUCUUCUUUGCCAUUGGUGUCAGCUAUGAAGGAGUGAUACUACAUGCUACAUUUCGGUUGGUCAUAGGCUGAUAAUCGGUUGAUCAAAGAAACAAUGACCCACUUGCUUUUAGGAGAGUUAACUUGCUCUCAUAAGGAAGAUAACUCUUACAAUGAAGAAUGGGACAGGAAAUUAGAGUACAAAAGAUAGCACUGAGGAUUGGGGGUGUCUCAACAAGUUGAAUGUUUCAUGUUUACAAUAUUUAAUUUCAGCUGGGAUCACUUGAUUAGUUUGAAAGCAAGGGUUUCUUUUUUAAUCCUUCUAUUAGUUAAUUAAGUAGAUAUAUUAACCCCCUCAUGCGAAGACUAUGCACAUUAUUUGUAUUUUUUGUUAUACUCCUAUUUUAUUUCAUCUGGCUGAUUAUUAUAAACCUUGCACUACCAGCUUUUGAUUUCAUAGUCUUUCUUAGUGCAAGAUAGAUUUGUUGGCUUUAGUAUAUAUUGUUCAGAUUUUUAUGUUACAAUUUUUAUAUUAAAUAAUAAAUUUAUAGUCUGUUGCCAAUGAUUCAGAAUUAAAGAAUAGUUAAUUUGGUUUAAAUU